UAAGAGUUGUAGAGUCGGAUGAGAGAGUCUUAUCCGGAGUUGUUUGUGUCCGUUUAUUUUUAAUGACGAAUAUCCUUUUAACUUAGGGAGAUUUGUAACACCCCAAAUUUAGUUAUUUAAUUUUAAUUAAAUUGAAUUGAAUUUAUUUUAUUUACUUGAGUGAUAUAUGUGUUUUAUUUGAAUUAUUGGUAAUUUAUUUAAUUUAAUUAAUAUUAGAAAUAUUAGAGAUAUUUUAUGCUUGGGAGAAA
This 248-nucleotide long non-coding RNA is filed under the name Lathyrus oleraceus (garden pea). RNAcentral's name for it is "Pisum sativum (pea) long non-coding RNA (PSAT_LNC011339)". The record is from RNAcentral. Lineage: Eukaryota; Viridiplantae; Streptophyta; Magnoliopsida; Fabales; Fabaceae.